CAAGACUGUAGAUUCCAGAUAAAUGUUGAUUCAUUUUAACUAUUUUUUAGCCUCGUUGCUUGUUGCAGGUCCCGUGUGCCUGAGUCCUCCGCCCACAUGAGGAAUAUUUCUCGCUGAAAAAGGAAGGAAACAAGUGAUUAGAUGAUUUCACGUUUAGUUUUUUCAGAGAUUCUUUAGGGAAUGGAGAUCAGUUUCAUGGAUGACAUCCCAGUUUUCUCAUCAUCAGAAAAGAAAAAAAUCCUCUGGCCAGUGGAAGAAACAGUCACCAAAACGUGAAACAGCCUGGUGAGACAGCAAUAUUCAACUACGAAAAGACCAACAGGUAAAAGAACUAUAGUCACAUCUAAAACAUACUCGGGGGGGAAAAAAAACAUCACAACAACAACACAGAAGCAGUCCAUUGAUU
This 406-nucleotide long non-coding RNA is filed under the name Sus scrofa (pig). RNAcentral describes it as "lncRNA (ENSSSCG00070029966.1)". Lineage: Eukaryota; Metazoa; Chordata; Mammalia; Artiodactyla; Suidae. The record is from RNAcentral.